RNAcentral lists this transfer RNA (61 nucleotides) under Melibe leonina. RNAcentral describes it as "tRNA-Ala". Lineage: Eukaryota; Metazoa; Mollusca; Gastropoda; Nudibranchia; Dendronotidae. The record is from RNAcentral.
GUACUAUACUUUAUUCAGAAGAUCUGGUUUGCAACUAGACAGAGGGUUAAACCCUAGUACA